RNAcentral lists this ribosomal RNA (515 nucleotides) under uncultured bacterium. RNAcentral's name for it is "bacterial SSU rRNA". It matches the Rfam family "Bacterial small subunit ribosomal RNA", at positions 798 to 1317 of the family's 1533-position model. The record is from RNAcentral.
CACGGUAAACGAUGGAUGCCCGCUGUUUGCGAUAUACUGUGAGCGGCCAAGAGAAAUCGUUAAGCAUCCCACCUGGGGAGUACGCCGGCAACGGUGAAACUCAAAGGAAUUGACGGGGGCCCGCACAAGCGGAGGAACAUGUGGUUUAAUUCGAUGAUACGCGAGGAACCUUACCCGGGCUUGAACUGCAGGCGAACGAUACAGAGAUGUUGAGGCCCUUCGGGGCGCCUGUGGAGGUGCUGCAUGGUUGUCGUCAGCUCGUGCCGUGAGGUGUCGGCUUAAGUGCCAUAACGAGCGCAACCCUUUUCAUUAGUUGCCAUCAGGUAAUGCUGGGCACUCUGGUGAUACUGCCACCGUAAGGUGUGAGGAAGGUGGGGAUGACGUCAAAUCAGCACGGCCCUUACGUCCGGGGCUACACACGUGUUACAAUGGGAGGUACAGAGAGUCGGAUGUACGCAAGUACAUUCUAAUCCUAAAAGCCUUCCUCAGUUCGGAUUGGGGUCUGCAACCCGACC